AAUAUUUGACGCCGUUAACUUUUUUAAACAUGUUUGACCGUUCGUCUUAUUAAAAAAUUUAAGUAGUUAUUAAUUAUUUUCCUAUCAUUCGAUUCAUUGGUGAAUAUACUUUUAUGUAUAUAUAUAGUUUUACNAAUUAUAAAAAAUUUUCAAAUAAGACGGACGAUCAAAGUUAGGCACGGAAACUAAUGGUAGCACUUAAA
Molecule: non-coding RNA, 203 nt
Organism: Oryza meridionalis
Lineage: Eukaryota; Viridiplantae; Streptophyta; Magnoliopsida; Poales; Poaceae
Source: Rfam